This 81-nucleotide transfer RNA is filed under the name Dreissena polymorpha. RNAcentral's name for it is "tRNA-Tyr". The record is from RNAcentral. Lineage: Eukaryota; Metazoa; Mollusca; Bivalvia; Myida; Dreissenidae.
GCCGGAAUAGCUCAGUUGGGAGACUGAAGGUAUAUACAUGCUGAAAUUUAAAGGCCCCCGGUUCAAUCCCGGGUUCCGGAA